RNAcentral lists this transfer RNA (77 nucleotides) under Paracoccaceae bacterium. RNAcentral's name for it is "Rhodobacteraceae bacterium (aquatic metagenome) tRNA-Arg". It matches the Rfam family "tRNA". From Rfam's summary of the family: Transfer RNA (tRNA) molecules are approximately 80 nucleotides in length. Lineage: Bacteria; Pseudomonadati; Pseudomonadota; Alphaproteobacteria; Rhodobacterales; Paracoccaceae. The record is from RNAcentral. RNAcentral also lists the same sequence under 2 other names.
GACUCCGUAGCUCAACUGGAUAGAGCAAUUCACUUCUAAUGAAUAGGUUGAGGGUUCGAGUCCUUCCGGGGUCGCCA